Molecule: ribosomal RNA, 849 nt
Filed under: Geodermatophilus sp. RKEM 688
Lineage: Bacteria; Bacillati; Actinomycetota; Actinomycetes; Geodermatophilales; Geodermatophilaceae
Description: bacterial SSU rRNA
Rfam family: Bacterial small subunit ribosomal RNA
Source: RNAcentral
GUUUGAUCCUGGCUCAGGACGAACGCUGGCGGCGUGCUUAACACAUGCAAGUCGAACGAUGAAGCCAGCUUGCUGGUGGAUUAGUGGCGAACGGGUGAGUAACACGUGGGCAACCUGCCCUCAGCUCUGGGAUAACUCCAAGAAAUUGGUGCUAAUACCGGAUAUUCUUCUUUCACCGCAUGGUGGUUGGAGGAAAGUUUUUCGGCUGGGGAUGGGCCCGCGGCCUAUCAGCUUGUUGGUGGGGUGAUGGCCUACCAAGGCGACGACGGGUAGCCGGCCUGAGAGGGUGACCGGCCACACUGGGACUGAGACACGGCCCAGACUCCUACGGGAGGCAGCAGUGGGGAAUAUUGCGCAAUGGGCGGAAGCCUGACGCAGCGACGCCGCGUGAGGGAUGACGGCCUUCGGGUUGUAAACCUCUUUCAGCAGGGACGAAGCGGAAGUGACGGUACCUGCAGAAGAAGCACCGGCCAACUACGUGCCAGCAGCCGCGGUAAUACGUAGGGUGCAAGCGUUGUCCGGAAUUAUUGGGCGUAAAGAGCUCGUAGGCGGUUUGUCGCGUCGGCUGUGAAAGCCCGGAGCUCAACUCCGGGUCUGCAGUCGAUACGGGCAGACUUGAGUGUUGCAGGGGAGACUGGAAUUCCUGGUGUAGCGGUGAAAUGCGCAGAUAUCAGGAGGAACACCGGUGGCGAAGGCGGGUCUCUGGGCAACAACUGACGCUGAGGAGCGAAAGCGUGGGGAGCGAACAGGAUUAGAUACCCUGGUAGUCCACGCCGUAAACGUUGGGCGCUAGGUGUGGGGGCCAUUCCACGGUCUCCGUGCCGCAGCUAACGCAUUAAGCGCCCCGCC